RNAcentral lists this ribosomal RNA (122 nucleotides) under Phycisphaerales bacterium. RNAcentral describes it as "partial 16S ribosomal RNA". It matches the Rfam family "Bacterial small subunit ribosomal RNA", at positions 1402 to 1533 of the family's 1533-position model. The record is from RNAcentral. Lineage: Bacteria; Pseudomonadati; Planctomycetota; Phycisphaerae; Phycisphaerales.
UCAUGGAAGCUGGUAGUGCCUUAAGUCGCCGAGAUUCAUCGGUGCCCACGGCAAGACUGGUGACUGGGACUAAGUCGUAACAAGGUAGCCGUAGGGGAACCUGCGGCUGGAUCACCUCCUUU